This 275-nucleotide ribosomal RNA is filed under the name uncultured bacterium. Its description in RNAcentral is "partial 16S ribosomal RNA". It matches the Rfam family "Bacterial small subunit ribosomal RNA", at positions 399 to 691 of the family's 1533-position model. The record is from RNAcentral.
GCGUGAGCGAUGAAGGCCUUAGGGUUGUAAAGCUCUUUUACCCGGGAUGAUAAUGACAGUACCGGGAGAAUAAGCCCCGGCUAACUCCGUGCCAGCAGCCGCGGUAAUACGGAGGGGGCUAGCGUUGUUCGGAAUUACUGGGCGUAAAGCGCACGUAGGCGGCUAUUCAAGUCAGAGGUGAAAGCCCGGGGCUCAACCCCGGAAUUGCCUUUGAAACUAGAUAGCUUGAAUCACGGAGAGGUGGGUGGAAUUCCGAGUGUAGAGGUGAAAUUCGU